UACAGAGGGUGCAAGCGUUAAUCGGAAUUACUGGGCGUAAAGCGUGCGUAGACGGUUAUUUAAGUCAGGUGUGAAAGCCCCGGGCUCAACCUGGGAAUUGCAUUUGAGACUGAAUAGCUAGGGUGCGGAAGAGGGAAGCGGAAUUUCCGGUGUAGCGGUGAAAUGCGUAGAUAUCGGGAGGAACACCUGUGGCGAAAGCGGCUCUCUGGACCACAACUGACGCUGAGGCGCGAAAGCUAGGGGAGCAAACAGG
This 253-nucleotide ribosomal RNA is filed under the name uncultured bacterium. RNAcentral describes it as "partial 16S ribosomal RNA". It matches the Rfam family "Bacterial small subunit ribosomal RNA", at positions 524 to 776 of the family's 1533-position model. The record is from RNAcentral.